AGCAGCCGCGGUAAUUCCAGCUCCAAUAGCGUAUAUUAAAGUUGUUGCAGUUAAAAAGCUCGUAGUUGAAUUUCGGGGUUAGCAGGUCGGUCGUGCCAUCGGUAUGAACUGGUCUCGCUGAUCCCUCCCUCUUGACGAACUGUGAUGCCAUUAAUUUGGUGUCGCAGGGAAUCAGGACUGUUACUUUGGAAAAAUUAGAGUGUUUAAAGCAGGCUCACGCUUGAAUACAUUAGCAUGGAAUAAUGAAAUAGGACGUUUGAUCCUAUUUUGUUGGCUUCUAGGAUUGACGUAAUGAUUAAUAGGGAUAGUUGGGGGCAUUAGUAUUCAAUUGUCAGAGGUGAAAUUCUUGGAUUUAUUGAAGACUAACUACUGCGAAAGCAUUUGCCAAGGAUGUUUUCAUUAAUCAAGAACGAAAGUUAGGGGAUCGAAGACGAUCAGAUACCGUCGUAGUCUUAACCAUAAACUAUGCCGACUAGGGAUCGG
This 483-nucleotide ribosomal RNA is filed under the name uncultured Glomus. RNAcentral describes it as "SSU rRNA". It matches the Rfam family "Eukaryotic small subunit ribosomal RNA", at positions 569 to 1056 of the family's 1831-position model. The record is from RNAcentral. Lineage: Eukaryota; Fungi; Glomeromycota; Glomeromycetes; Glomerales; Glomeraceae.